UCGAGAAUUUUUCACAAUGGACGAAAGUCUGAUGGAGCGACGCCGCGUGGAGGAUGAAGGUUCUUGGAUUGUAAACUCCUGUCACUGCAGAACAAGGAUAGGCGUGUGAACAGCACGUCUAUUUGAUGGUAUGCGGAGAGGAAGGGACGGCUAACUCUGUGCCAGCAGCCGCGGUAAGACAGAGGUCCCGAGCGUUGUUCGGAUUCAUUGGGCGUAAAGGGUGUGUAGGAGGUUGGGUAAGUCAGGUGUGAAAUCUCACAGCUUAACUGUGAAACUGCGCUUGAUACUGCUCGGCUAGAGGAUCGGAGGGGGUAACGGAAUUCAUGGUGUAGCAGUGAAAUGCGUAGAUAUCAUGAGGAACACCGGUGGCGAAGGCGGUUACCUGGAAGAUUCCUGACUCUGAAACACGAAAGCCAGGGGAGCAAACGG
RNAcentral lists this ribosomal RNA (429 nucleotides) under uncultured bacterium. RNAcentral's name for it is "bacterial SSU rRNA". It matches the Rfam family "Bacterial small subunit ribosomal RNA", at positions 355 to 775 of the family's 1533-position model. The record is from RNAcentral.